RNAcentral lists this ribosomal RNA (271 nucleotides) under uncultured prokaryote. RNAcentral describes it as "partial 16S ribosomal RNA". It matches the Rfam family "Bacterial small subunit ribosomal RNA", at positions 524 to 794 of the family's 1533-position model. The record is from RNAcentral.
UACGUAGGUGGCGAGCGUUGUCCGGAUUUACUGGGCGUAAAGGGAGCGUAGGCGGACUUUUAAGUGAGAUGUGAAAUACCCGGGCUCAACUUGGGUGCUGCAUUUCAAACUGGAAGUCUAGAGUGCAGGAGAGGAGAGUAGAAUUCCUAGUGUAGCGGUGAAAUGCGUAGAUAUUAGGAGGAAUACCAGUUGCGAAGGCGGCUCUCUGGACUGUAACUGACACUGAGGCACGAAAGCGUGGGGAGCAAACAGGAUUAGAUACCCGGGUAGU